UACGUAGGGGGCAAGCGUUGUCCGGAAUCAUUGGGCGUAAAGAGCGUGUAGGCGGCCCGAUAAGUCCGCUGUGAAAGUCCAGGGCUCAACCCUGGAAUGCCGGUGGAUACUGUCGGGCUCGAAUCCGGAAGAGGUGAGUGGAAUUCCUGGUGUAGCGGUGAAAUGCGCAGAUAUCGGGAGGAACACCAAUGGCGAAGGCAGCUCACUGGGACGGUAUUGACGCUGAGACGCGAAAGCGUGGGGAGCAAACAGG
Molecule: ribosomal RNA, 253 nt
Filed under: uncultured bacterium
Lineage: Bacteria
Description: partial 16S ribosomal RNA
Rfam family: Bacterial small subunit ribosomal RNA
Source: RNAcentral